Molecule: ribosomal RNA, 253 nt
Filed under: uncultured bacterium
Lineage: Bacteria
Description: partial 16S ribosomal RNA
Rfam family: Bacterial small subunit ribosomal RNA
Source: RNAcentral
UACGUAGGGGGCAAGCGUUGUCCGGAUUUAUUGGGCGUAAAGAGCGUGUAGGCGGCCAGGUAGGUCCGCUGUGAAAACUCGAGGCUUAACCUCGAGCUGUCGGUGGAAACCAUCUGGCUAGAGUCCGGAAGAGGAGAGUGGAAUUCCUGGUGUAGCGGUGAAAUGCGCAGAUAUCAGGAAGAACACCAAUGGCGAAGGCAGCUCUCUGGGACGGUACUGACACUGAGACGCGAAAGCGUGGGGAGCGAACAGG